Molecule: transfer RNA, 64 nt
Filed under: Marmessoidea bispina
Lineage: Eukaryota; Metazoa; Arthropoda; Insecta; Phasmatodea; Lonchodidae
Description: tRNA-Gly
Source: RNAcentral
AUUUAUUUAAUAUAAAAGUAUAUUUAACUUCCAAUUAAAAAGCCUGUAUUAAACAGAAUAAGUA